UGCCAGCCGCCGCGGUAAUACGGAGGGUGCAAGCGUUGCUCGGAAUCACUGGGCGUAAAGCGUACGCAGGCGGUUCAUUAGGUCGGGUGUGAAAGCCCAGAGCUCAACUCUGGAACUGCGCCCGAUACUGGUGGACUUGAGUACGGAAGAGGGAAGCGGAAUUCUGGGUGUAGAGGUGAAAUUCGUAGAUAUCCAGAGGAACACCAGUGGCGAAAGCGGCUUCCUGGUCCGAUACUGACGCUCAUGUACGAAAGCGUGGGGAGCAAACAGGAUUAGAUA
RNAcentral lists this ribosomal RNA (279 nucleotides) under uncultured bacterium. RNAcentral's name for it is "partial 16S ribosomal RNA". It matches the Rfam family "Bacterial small subunit ribosomal RNA", at positions 506 to 784 of the family's 1533-position model. The record is from RNAcentral.